This is a non-coding RNA of Labeo rohita (rohu), 776 nucleotides long. NCBI's taxonomy places the organism in Eukaryota, Metazoa, Chordata, Actinopteri, Cypriniformes, Cyprinidae. The record is from the annotation of a RefSeq genome assembly.
AUGGUUCCAGUAAUUCAUGCUCUUGGCUAUAUAAAAGAAACAGUGGAAAAGGCUUCAGUGUCAUGCUCAGUGAAUGAAGCUAGAAUCGAUUCUAUUCAAAAAUUCAAUGUCACUGUCAGUACAAAGAAAUGGUUUGAUGGUGAAAUUGUCACCUGCACCACCAGUGACACAAAUAAUAACAGAGACGUCAAGCAGGAGAUCCAAUUUAAAAAAGGAGAUGGAAAGACAUCUACUGUUACUAUUUACAAACCUGAUAGUAUGGACACAGAAACUGUCUCUCAUGUGUGUGAGGUCACCAGUCCUAAACUUGGCGAUUUCUAUACCACGUGGAAAAUGGGUCAGCCUUACAUAGAGGGCAGAACCAGUGCUCCCAUCCAUCAAAAUAACUAUAUGUCUGCUCUCAGCAUCUUAACAAUGACACAACAAGAGUAUGAAGAUCUCAAAACCACCAUCACUUACGCAGUCAUACAUACCAACAUGAAAAAUACAAGAUCUCCAUUACAAGUGUCAACAGGCAAAAGUGAGUCACCUGAGCCAGAGAAUGGUUUUGCUCUGGACUGAGCAAAACCAUUUAGAGGUCUCUGGUCUACUGCCACCUCAUUCAUCUUCCUCUUCCUCUUUUCUCUGACCUACAGCGCUGUACUCAGCUUCUUUCUUCAAGGUGAAGCACUGAUGGUUUGUUAAAAGAACUGGUGAAGACUCCAAGGUUUCUUAUUUGUUUUGUAAAUGUAAUUAAAUGUUAGUCAAAUCUAUUUCGAAAUCAAAAAGGAAAAUAA